CUCAAGGCUCAAGUCUCUCAUUCCCUCUCUCCCAACAAAACCGCCCUUUUUCGAGUUUUCGCUCCCCGCAAACCAAUUUCUCAAGAUGAAGUUCGCCACUGCUCUCUCUGUCCUCGCCGUUGCCGGCUCUGCUCUGGCCUCUGCCCUUCCCACCACCGACGAUGCCCUCACCCAGGCUCUGACUGCUGAGGUCUAUGACGCCGCCGC
Molecule: unclassified non-coding RNA, 207 nt
Filed under: Hevea brasiliensis (rubber tree)
Lineage: Eukaryota; Viridiplantae; Streptophyta; Magnoliopsida; Malpighiales; Euphorbiaceae
Source: RNAcentral